UUACGGCCAUAUCCCGUUGAAGGACUGGUGCUCGUAUGAUCACUGAAGUUAAGCAACUUCGAGUCUGGUCAGUACCUAGAUGAGUGACCACUUGGGAAUGC
Non-coding RNA from Acanthosepion pharaonis, 101 nucleotides. The record is from the annotation of a GenBank genome assembly. NCBI's taxonomy places the organism in Eukaryota, Metazoa, Mollusca, Cephalopoda, Sepiida, Sepiidae.